Passer domesticus (house sparrow) is the source of this 665-nucleotide long non-coding RNA. RefSeq lists it as uncharacterized. The transcript has 3 exons. The record is from RefSeq and is a predicted model, not a curated record. NCBI's taxonomy places the organism in Eukaryota, Metazoa, Chordata, Aves, Passeriformes, Passeridae.
CAACUAAGGUGCUUUCAGGCAGUGCUUAGAGGAAAAGGCUUAAUUAAGAAGACUGAUGGCCUUUUACUUAAGUCUCUUCAAGAGUGUAGAGAGUCUUGUUUAACUCCUCCAGAUCUAGCAGCAAACCAGAUUUGAAAUUCCAACAUUUUUCUUACCUUGGAAAUUCUCCGUUCUUUAACUUCAGUGAGUCCUGUAAGCACAAGGAAAAAAAGAAUCCAGAUGAAUGUGCAGGAGGAUCCAAUCCCAGCAAUUUGUUGGGAAAAUGAGCUACAAGAGUACUGUCAUCAUCAAAUGAAUUAUUCACUGAAGAAUACUCAGCUGGAAGUUUUACUUUUGUGUUCCUAUCCAGAACAAAAUGAUUCAGAUUGUUAUCCCAGUUCCCAAAAUCUCCAUGCACAACAAACCACCAUCAUCUUGACACCUACUAAUUACUCUGCACAACAGUUGCACCUAAUUGUGUGUUCACCAGUAGAUGAUGAAGAGCUAUGCCUAAAUUCCAAGCUUGCAAGAGUCCAUCAUGUGUGAAAGGUGCCUAAUGACUGGAAAAUUGUAAACAUGCCAGGCAAGGAUGGGGAUGUGGGAAAUACAGGCUGGGCAGACUGGAAAUAUAACUUAGAGAGGAAUGCAAAGCCUUGGGACAAAAUGAGCCCAGGUGUAGGCACACA